RNAcentral lists this long non-coding RNA (429 nucleotides) under Cicer arietinum (chickpea). Its description in RNAcentral is "long non-coding RNA (CARI_LNC003797)". The record is from RNAcentral. Lineage: Eukaryota; Viridiplantae; Streptophyta; Magnoliopsida; Fabales; Fabaceae.
UUAAUAUAUUAGGUAACCGAUAAAUAGUGUUUCGGAUUAAAAUAUUUUAAAUUUUAAUUAAGUGUAAAUUAAUAUACAAUGUAUUUCCUAUAUAUAUAUAUAUAUAUAAUUGAGCAUUUGAACUCACGUCCGUUACUCUACUAUUGUCACUGGCCAUCACCGACUCACCGUCCAAUCUCUUCAUUUUUUUUAAAAACGUUUAUGUUGUGAUUUUGAAAGAAUAGUAUCACUCGUGGCAAUACUUUUUCUUCUAUUUCAAAAUAGAAGAAAUUGAAUCAGAUUCGAUCUUGAUCAUAGUUUAACUAUUUAAAACUGCUCAAACUAAAAAGAAAUUACCAUUGAACUACUCUAAUAAGUAAUAACUAAGUCAUCGAUAGUACUCUUGUUUAUUUAUAUGUGGUAAAAUGAUCGGAUUUUCCUUUCGAAAUU